AUAAAUAAAAGGACAUACACACCUAUAUAUUCCAGACAGGGGCCUCGUAUGGGCCCAUGAAGAUAUGCUGGGCACCAAGGCACAUGAUUAACUCAAUUGUUGGGAAAAUUUUUUAAAUGGGUGGAGCAGAAUGUGUGCUACAUAUAUGUACACAAACAUGCACACACACAUGCACAGUUGUUUUUUUUUUUCCUUCAUCGAACUAGCCCAUUGAUGGCACAUAAUAGCCCUGAGAAAUAGUAACUGAGUAAUUGACUGAAACACCCUCCUACCCCUCUGUCUCAGUGGAGAUGCUUUUCUAUUCUCUCUACAGAAUAAGUUCCGUAGAGAGAAUAGACUCUAUUGGCUGGAAUUUGAAAACUGUUUCACGCACACAACGUCCUUAUAACAGAUACACACGCUCUCAACUAGGCCAACUGACUUGCCUCCAGAACUUAUUGCCUGUAGCCUCCUUCCAAAACACAUGUGUAGGGUUCAGGGAAAGAAAUUUUCAGAGUAGUGCACGGCAUCUAGUCCUCAGCAUUCCAUCAUUUUAUGAGCAAUAGCUUCAAGCCUCUUUUGCAAACGGUCUUCUGCAACCAUCCUUUCCUUACAGAGCCUUUGUUAUUCAGACAUUUAAACUAUGUAAUGGUCUCAGGUGAGGGGCAGGUAGAUAGAUGGGAGAUUGGUAGUUCUCAAACUCAAGCAUGUAUCAGAAUCACCUAGAGACCUUAUUUAAUGCAGGUUAGUGGGCCCUAUUCCAAGACUGUCAAUCAGUAGACCUGAGGCACGGCCUGAGAAUUUCCUUUUCUAACAAGUUCCCCACAGAUGUUGAUGCUGUGGGUAUAGGGGUCCCAUACUUUGAGACCCACGAGAUAGACUUAGAAAUAGGAUGCUGCCUCCACUGAUUUAUUUCCCUUUCAUUGUAUACUGUAAUGCACUGGUUGUGCAUCUAAGAAUCAUCCGCAAGGCUUAUUAAAACACAAAUCCCUGGGCCUCAACCUCAAAGAUUUGGAUUCACUAGAGCCGGGUGGAACCAAAAAUCUGAGCUUCUAACAAACUCCCAGAUGAUACAGAUGCGGCUGGAUCCAGGUCCAGAGAUCGUUGCACAGGUUCUUACUCUUGGUUAGAUCAGGAUCCUCUGAUUCUGAUGCCAGGCCCUACCUCAGGCCAAUUAAGCCAGCAAUGGGCCUGGGCACAGGUAAUUUUUUUAAAGCUCCUGGGGUGAUUCUAACAUGCAGCUGGGGCAGGAAAACAACGGUGCUGCCUAUUUCUUGGACCCCAACUGUUUCUAAUUUGAGUCACUCUUCAGCACUCCGUUAAACCCCAGUCCCCAUCCUCAGUUCCCAGGUGGGUUUGCAUAAGGGGUAGUAGACCUGCCAGGAGAUGCAGUGAGAAGCACUGAGCACUGAGGCAGGAGGAGCACAGACAGCACAGAGAAUCCUCUAAAGUGAAGUUUCUCUCUUUCUCACUGUUGUUGGGGACUCACCCUGCACCACAAAGAAGACUAGAUAAAGAAAACCACUAACCAGUAACAUCCGGCUCAGUAGGCUGAGCACAAAAGCAAGGUUUUGCUUUGGCCCUAGACCUAGAAGCCUGCUGAGUGAGCGCCUUGGCCCUAGAAAAGAGGAGCAGGGGGUUGUCCGGAGCCCCUCCGACCACGCUGCUCUCAGUCAGGCACCACAGACACAGGCAGAGCUGGCUAGAGGUCAGAGGCAUGGCCCCAGUGAGAAGCAGCAGCUGUGCCCUGUGAGCAGGGCCCUUCUGUGAGGCCAGCUGACCUGCCCAGGAACCUUGCUGCCCUCUGUUGUUGAGAGCUGCAGGGUUAGAGGCACCGCAUACCCUGAAGUGUGCGGGAGGCUGAACAGGUGCCAACACUCCACCCCUCACCAGCCCUGGACAGCUCACCUCGCCAACCCUCUGUUUCCUCAGCUUGUAAAAGGAAGAUAAUGCCACAUGAAAUGAUGAGGAAGCAUCUGCCCCACCCAAUUAAAACGUGCAAGAAUUAUCUCACACCUCACACCAUUCCCUGGAGUCCUGAGGACUUACCCAGAUACUCAGUAGGAUGGGAAAUUGGGGGUGAAAAAUGACAGUUAAUUGGAAGGGCAUGGCCUGCAGCCUGAGAGAAGUUGCUGAGUUUGGAAAGUAGGAAGGCGGUGAACUGGCCAAGGGAUCAUGAGUUUACAGCUUGUGACCACGAUGUAAAGGAAGGACCGGUCCCAUUCCACACCUGAUCCUUAGGGGCCUCAGGCCUCUGGGUUUGGCAGCUGGGAUUGGUAUUGUUCUGUGUCAUCCACAAUGAUCUCUGCCAAAGAGGGCCUGAAGAUACAGGCUUCCUUCCUGCUUGCCAGCUUCAGAAUGGCUCGGGUGUUCCCAGAACUGGCCAAUCUAUGCACCUAGAACUGAGGCUUGACACUCCCCAGGUUCAGGGCAGUCCUAGAAGCAAGCUAAAGCCUCUCCCCUUGGGGUAGAUCUCCAAGGCUGGCAUCCUGGGAGCUUGGUGCAUAAGGCUGAUUCACCUGCCACAGGACCUAUGAGCUCUGUGUGUGUCCCCAGUGGCAAGGGCAUUGACCCUGGGCUACCUGUCCCAGUCACAAUUCUGGACCCCUGCUCUGAGGGCUAUAUUUAGAGGAAUUGUACCCCGACUUCCCUGCCAACCUAGAGACACACACACCCUAUCUCAGGACCUCACAGGAACUCAUCCUAGUCUUCAAGUAUCAGAGUCGUUCACCCAUUUAUUCAUCCAUAUACUCAACAAAUAACUAUUAUGAAUCUCCAUGAGCCAGACACUGAACCUGGGGCUACAUCAGUAAACAAGACCAUCCCAGACUCUGCCCUCAGGAAGCUAGCCAGUGAGUGGGGAAGCUCUAUAAAGCAGACAGUUGCAAGAUCCUGUAAUUACGGUGAGAGGAAAGAGAAAUAUUUUGGGAGAUGCAUGCCAAUGACUGUGGCCUGAAGUUUGACCUUUUCUCCAUCAGGCAGUCAUAAUGGAAGAUGCUUACCCACCCCUGUCCUGGGGUAGGAGGGAUAGCAGAUGGGAUGGCAGUGUCAUUUAGAAAAUUGCCUUCAAAAUGUCUAUUUUUAUAAUGUAGGCUACAGAAAGUACAGUUCCACACAGUGUUUUGUUAUUUUGGCCUUUUGGACAAAGAAGUCAUAUGUAUACUGGUGUGGUAUAGGAGAGAAUUACUGCAGGGUCCCUGAAUUUACAAAGAUCAGGGAAUCCAAGGUGGAAAAACCAGGGCAUGGAACCCACCAAGAAAAUGUUUCAAGAAGUCCCCUGAGACCCUGGGGUGGGGAUUGCUCCUGCAAUGCAGCGGGUGUCAGUCCUGUGAGUGGGCAGGAUGCAGAGGCCUCUGGCUAAACCACACAAGGUGCUGCCAGACUCCCUGGGCUGGAGGAAGCCCUGCCCCUGUGUGUGCAAGCAUCACCCUCCCGUGACAUGUGAUGAUGUCUCAUGGUAACUGAUGGCCUCAAGGCACCCACCAAACCUAUAUGAAGCAACCAGCACCACGCAGAGGGUGGGACCUGAUGGAGUGACUUGAUGAAGUUUAAUGGGAGGACAAGGCUUGGCCUAGAGUGUUGCCUUCCAUUGGUGUGGCCCAGCAUGCAACGGCACACUCCCUGCUGCCAGCUGGAAUGCCACCAUGACUCACUUGGGCUCACCAUGGCAUCUCCAAACAAGACAUCGGAAUUUGUAAACUGUCCCCACUCCAGGGGCUGAAUUCAUGCCUUUUCACCUAGUCUCAAGGACAGGGAUGCUUUACAGCAGUGCUUUCCAAACAAAUCCCCUGGGGACCUACUUAAUGCAAAUUCUGAUUCUGAAGGUCUGGGUGGGACUGAGAUGUUUCAUUUCUAAACAAGUUCCAGGGGAUGUCAAUGUUGCUGAUCUGGGGACCACACUGUGAGUAGCAAGACCUGAAAACAUUCACCAAAGUGAGUGAAAUUUAACCUUCACUUCUCCUUCACAAGGAAGGAUGAUCGGCUCCACCAUCUGGUGCUCACUCAGCAAGCAUUUGUUGAGCCUAGGAACUGAGAUAAUGGUAACACCAUUGGCGGAAAUAAUGAAGUCAGAGACAGGAACUGUUGUUUUAGGAGAAAUAAUAAUAAUUACCUUUGCUUGAAUGCCUGUCCUGUUCUAUGAUCUUGUUUGAUCCUUAUAUUUGGAAGGUAGAUAUUAUUAAUCUUCAUUAAUUUCAUAGUGGAAUUAGGCUCAAAAAGGUGAAGUGAUUUUCCCUGAGGUGUCAUUGCUGGCUGGAAAUUGAACCUGGUCUAUUAAACUCCAAAAUCUACCUGAUCCCACUGUGAAGCAGUUCCUUGUUCUAGAGAGUGGGGAAUUAGCGUUAAGUAGAUUCAGCAUAGUGGUUCGCAACCCUGCCUGCACGUUAGAAUCACCAAGAAAACUUUAAACCCCCCCACACCCCAAACUAAUUACAAUAGACUCUCUAGGGGAGGGAUGCUCUAUCCACAUUUUUUAAAGCUCUCCAGGUAAUUCCAAUGUGCAGACAAGCCUGGGAAUCGCUGAGUUAGCCCAACUCUUCUCCUAAGAAGUGAGCAAUUGAGAAGCCAAUAAAUGAAAUGGCAACCUUGUCAGAACUAGUAUCUCUCCAUUCCUUCUCCAGGACUGUUUCCAAUAAACUGGCUAAACAUAACAUGCUGUAGUGGGAUGAAGCAGAAUGGGAAAGAAAGUAGGAUACAGGAAUUUGCCAAGGGAAAAUACAUAAGGAGCUGAGAAUCCAAGCCAACACUGGAGGCAACACACAUUUAGGAGCUGAGGAGAAGAUUCUGAAAGAUAGAGAAUUUCACCAAACUAAAAUCCUUAACAUCAAGAACAACAUUUCUUCAUUUAGGAAUCCUCCUGUGUUUGGCAUCUCUUACACGAUGGAUGAGUGAACGGAGGAAAUGAGAAAGGUGGUGUGGCUCUAAUGGACAAGAAAGUUCAGAAGCCAAGUUGAGUAGGAAAUGGGUGUCACAUUGGGAUUGAGGAAAGGCAUAAUAACAGUUCUUAUGUCCUCUUACGUAUAUUUGAUGAACUGCCUCAAAAUCUUUCUGGAAAGAGAGGUCCAUUAGGAAUGGAGAGAGCUAUUGGAUCCUGACUUCAUCAUCCGGUACCUUCCGGCCCAGAUGGGACUGUGCAUCCAGGGAGAAGUUUGUCCCCUUAUUCAAGCCAGGAGGAAGGUUCCAUUUGGAAACCCCCAAGGUAAACCAGUGCUGAUUGAGAGGGGCUGACAUCAGAAUGGGGGCACCUCUACAUGUUCGGCACGGUGCUUUGAAGAUGUCAUCCCUCAUCACAACUUUAUAAAGGAAGAAAAGUUACCCCACUUUACACUGAGGAAUCUGAGGCUCAGAAACUGGAAAAAAUGUUGGAAGGAGAUUUGCCUGAACCUGGAAACUCUUAUUAUGAACCUAGACCUAUACACACCCUACCUCAGCUGCUCGGGAGGCACUUGGAGGAAGGAUGUCCCAAGCCGGCAAGAACCCUGUGGUCUGGCGGGUGUCCAGCGGGUGGAGCCAGAGAGCUCCCAGCCAUGGGCCACCUAGCUGAAGGCUGAUAAGUACUAUCUGCACAUCCAAGCAGGCAGGAGACCCAGAUAAAAGACCUAUGACAUCUGCAUGGCUGGCUGUGGGAUUACAUAUAUAUAUUAUAUAUAUAUUUAAAAGUAUAUGUAUAUAUGUAUAUAUAUUACAU
RNAcentral lists this long non-coding RNA (5665 nucleotides) under Homo sapiens (human). RNAcentral's name for it is "HSALNT0394160". The record is from RNAcentral. Lineage: Eukaryota; Metazoa; Chordata; Mammalia; Primates; Hominidae.